AGACAGCCAGGAGGUUUGCCUAGAAGCAGCCACCCUUGAAAGAGUGCGUAAUAGCUCAUUGAUCGAGCGCUCUUGCGCCAAAGAUGAACAGGGCUAAGCGGUCUACCGAAGCUAUGGGAUGUAAAAAUACAUUGGUAGGAGAGCGUUCCGCCUUAGAGAGAAGCCUCCGCGCGAGCGGUGGUGGACGAAGCGGAAGCGAGAAUGUCGGCUUGAGUAACGCAAACAUUGGUGAGAAUCCAAUACCCCGAAAACCUAAGGGUUCCUCCACAAGGUUCGUCCACGGAGGGUGAGUCAGGGCCUAAGAUCAGGCCGAAUGGCGUAGUUGAUGGACAACAGAUGAAUAUUCCUGUACUACCCCUUGUUAGUCUCGAGGGACGGAGGAGGCUAGGUUAGCC
Molecule: long non-coding RNA, 395 nt
Organism: Solanum verrucosum
Lineage: Eukaryota; Viridiplantae; Streptophyta; Magnoliopsida; Solanales; Solanaceae
Exons: 2
Source: RefSeq, a predicted model, not a curated record